UGCCCUAGUAACGGCGAGUGAAGCGGCAACAGCUCAAAUUUGAAAUCUGGCUUCGGCCCGAGUUGUAAUUUGUAGAGGAUGCUUUUGGUGCGGUGCCUUCUGAGUUCCCUGGAACGGGACGCCUUAGAGGGUGAGAGCCCCGUAAAGUUGGACACCAAGCCUAUGUAAAGCUCCUUCGACGAGUCGAGUAGUUUGGGAAUGCUGCUCAAAAUGGGAGGUAAAUUUCUUCUAAAGCUAAAUACCGGCCAGAGACCGAUAGCGCACAAGUAGAGUGAUCGAAAGAUGAAAAGCACUUUGAAAAGAGGGUUAAAAAGUACGUGAAAUUGUUGAAAGGGAAGCGCUCAUGACCAGACUUGUGCCCUGCGGAUCAUCCAGCCUUCUGGCUGGUGCACUUCGCUUGGUUCAGGCCAGCAUCGGUUCUCCGGGGGGGAUAAAAGCUUCAGGAACGUAGCUCCCUCGGGAGCAUUAUAGCCUGUUGCAUAAUACCCUCUAGGGGACCGAGGUUCGCGCAUCUGCAAGGAUGCUGGCGUAAUGGUCAUCAGCGACCCGUCUUGAAACACGGACCAAGGAGUCAAGCAUUAGUGCGAGUGUUUGGGUGUAAAACCCGCACGCGUAAUGAAAGUGAACGUAGGUGAGAGCUUCGGCGCAUCAUCGACCGAUCCUGAUGUCUUCGGAUGGAUUUGAGUAGGAGCAUUAACGCUUGGACCCGAAAGAUGGUGAACUAUGCUUGGAUAGGGUGAAGCCAGAGGAAACUCUGGUGGAGGCUCGCAGCGGUUCUGACGUGCAAAUCGAUCGUCAAAUCUGAGCAUGGGGGCGAAAGACUAAUCGAACCAUCUAGUAGCUGGUUACCGCCGAAGUUUCCCUCAGGAUAGCAGUGUUGUUUUCAGUUUUAUGAGGUAAAGCGAAUGAUUAGGGACUCGGGGGCGCUAUUUAGCCUUCAUCCAUUCUCAAACUUUAAAUAUGUAAGAAGCCCUUGUUACUUAAUUGAACGUGGGC
Molecule: ribosomal RNA, 996 nt
Filed under: Phialemonium sp.
Lineage: Eukaryota; Fungi; Ascomycota; Sordariomycetes; Cephalothecales; Cephalothecaceae
Description: partial large subunit ribosomal RNA
Rfam family: Eukaryotic large subunit ribosomal RNA
Source: RNAcentral